This 460-nucleotide ribosomal RNA is filed under the name uncultured bacterium. RNAcentral's name for it is "bacterial SSU rRNA". It matches the Rfam family "Bacterial small subunit ribosomal RNA", at positions 28 to 487 of the family's 1533-position model. The record is from RNAcentral.
GACGAACGCUGGCGGCGUGCCUAACACAUGCAAGUCAACUUGACUGAAGGAGCAAUCUGACAGUAGAGUGGCGCAAGGGUGCGUAACGCGUAAGUAACUUGCCCCAAGGUAAGGAAUAACGUCGAGAAAUCGGCGCUAAUACCUCAUAAUGCAGCGGAUCCGCAUGGAUAUGUUGUUAAAGGUUUACCGCCUUGGGAUAGGCUUGCGUCUGAUUAGCUAGUUGGUGUGGUAACGGCACACCAAGGCUACGAUCAGUAACUGGUCUGAGAGGAUGAUCAGUCACACUGGAACUGAGACACGGUCCAGACUCCUACGGGAGGCAGCAGUGAGGAAUAUUGGGCAAUGCUCGAAAGAGUGACCCAGCAACGCCGCGUGGAGGAUGAAGGUAUUCUAUAUCGUAAACUCCUGUGAGAGCAGACGAAAGACAGAUUAUUAAUCUGGAUGACUGUAUGCUCAGAGG